AUCGAACGCUGGCGGCAGGCCUAACACAUGCAAGUCGAACGAGUGGCGGACGGGUGAGUAAUGUCUGGGAAACUGCCUGAUGGAGGGGGAUAACUACUGGAAACGGUAGCUACUACCGCAUACAAUCAGAUGUGCCCACAUGGGAUUAGCUAGUUGGUGGGGUAAAGGCUCACCAAGGCGACGAUCCCUAGCUGGUCCGAGAGGAUGACCGGCCACACUGGAACUGAGACACGGCCCAGACUCCUACGGGAGGCAGCAGUGGGGAAUAUUGGACAAUGGGCGCAAGCCUGAUGCAGCCAUGCCGCGUGUAUGAAGAAGGCCUUCGGGUUGUAAAGUACUGUCAUUGGGGAGGCGUUACCCGCAGAAGAAGCACCGGCUAACUCCGUGCCAGCAGACGCGGUAAUUC
RNAcentral lists this ribosomal RNA (406 nucleotides) under uncultured bacterium. RNAcentral describes it as "partial 16S ribosomal RNA". It matches the Rfam family "Bacterial small subunit ribosomal RNA", at positions 30 to 526 of the family's 1533-position model. The record is from RNAcentral.